AAAGAAUUUACGUUACCUCAGCUGAAGACAAACGUAGAAGUGAAAAGCGGCGUUGUGGCUUCAAAUAACCCUAUAAAUAGCCCCCCAUUGAUUAAGGUAAGUACAUUACCUUUAUUCUGUGUCAUAAUAACAGCACUAUUUGUCAGGUAAAUUUGGAAAGCAUCUUGGAGUUUAUCGGCAAGUGCAAAUUAUGAUCGUCAAGUUCACAGCGUCAACGACAUGAUUUAAACCUGACAAACGUUUAUGCUGUAAACAAUGUAACAUUUUUGAUACUUGUUAAAAUGUUGACGAAUUUAUAAUUAUAUAGAUGUAUAUUUCACUGUAUUACUGUACAGUAUGUACUGUAUGUUAUUCGGCUUUGUGUCAGCAAAAUGUAGGCCACUGUGGUGUGGGUUUGAAUUUCUAAUUUGAAACUGCCUGUUUACUUAGUUGCCUAGUUCAUAUUCACCACAUCUGAAGUAAGCGUUCACUAUUGCCUCCAGAAGUAUUUGGACUCUACUUUUUUUCUGCUGCAGUUCAGGGGCGCAGCAGGAUCUUCUCUUUUAAAUUUCCACAUGUGCUUUCAAGAACAAGCACAAGGAGUUUGUCCUCAAGUCUCUGGUGGGAUGGAGUCUUGAAUUCAAUGCAACAGAUGCAUCUCACUUACGACUGAAGUGUCCAGUCCUUCAGCAUUCACCGUCUCAGUGGAGUCAAAUGUUAAAUGAUGAUCAGGAUGAGCUGAGAAAGCAAUUACAGAGAAGAAGAGAAGUGACAAUGCAGGCAAAUGGGUGAUCAAGAUGAUCCAGAAUGGUUCACCUUUGGGUAAUCUUAAGGUUAGUGAGAUUUCUGUCAUAUACUGAAUGUAUUACAUUUGCUAUGAAUGAUACCUCAAAUAAUGUUUGCUUGUUAAAGAAAG
Long non-coding RNA from Onychostoma macrolepis, 895 nucleotides. RefSeq lists it as uncharacterized. The record is from RefSeq and is a predicted model, not a curated record. NCBI's taxonomy places the organism in Eukaryota, Metazoa, Chordata, Actinopteri, Cypriniformes, Cyprinidae. The transcript has 3 exons.